UCCCUGGUGGUAUAGGGGUUAGGAUUCAGCACUUUCACUGGUGUGACAUAGGUUCAAUUCCUGGCCUGGGAA
RNAcentral lists this transfer RNA (72 nucleotides) under Sus scrofa (pig). It matches the Rfam family "tRNA". Rfam says of the family: Transfer RNA (tRNA) molecules are approximately 80 nucleotides in length. Their secondary structure includes four short double-helical elements and three loops (D, anti-codon, and T loops). Further hydrogen bonds mediate the characteristic L-shaped molecular structure. tRNAs have two regions of fundamental functional importance: the anti-codon, which is responsible for specific mRNA codon recognition, and the 3' end, to which the tRNAs corresponding amino acid is attached (by aminoacyl-tRNA synthetases). tRNAs cope with the degeneracy of the genetic code in two manners: having more than one tRNA (with a specific anti-codon) for a particular amino acid; and 'wobble' base-pairing, i.e. permitting non-standard base-pairing at the 3rd anti-codon position. Lineage: Eukaryota; Metazoa; Chordata; Mammalia; Artiodactyla; Suidae. The record is from Rfam by way of RNAcentral.